Molecule: ribosomal RNA, 274 nt
Filed under: uncultured bacterium
Lineage: Bacteria
Description: partial 16S ribosomal RNA
Rfam family: Bacterial small subunit ribosomal RNA
Source: RNAcentral
AUACAGAGGGAGCAAGCGUUGUUCGGAUUUACUGGGCGUAAAGGGCGCGCAGGCGGGUGAAUAAGUCGGACGUGAAAAUUGCAGGCUCAACCUGUAACCUGCGUCCGAUACUGUUCACCUUGAGUACAGGAGAGGUGAGUGGAAUCGGCAGUGUAGCGGUGAAAUGCGUAGAUAUUGUCGAGAACACCGGUGGCGAAGGCGGCUCACUGGCCUGAUACUGACGCUGAGGCGCGAAAGCUAGGGGAGCGAACAGGAUUAGAAACCCGUGUAGUCC